CGGGACGGUCCGGACUUAGGGGCUGGGGCUGGGGCCGGGAAGGGCUUUACUCUUUGUGGGAUCCGUGACUUUGGGCGCGUGGGCUUAUCGCGGGCACCGCGCCCCAGCCCGUGACAGAGUUGGGAGUGCUCUUCCGCCUGCCCGCCUGCCAGGGGCUAUGGGGGCCUAGAGCUAGGGGACAGAGUUGCAGGGCCGGUCCGUGUCCCUGUGAGGCUCUCUCCCGAAUCCCUGCGGUCUUAGGGCCGCGGAGGCGCACUGACCCCCGAGGUCGCAGGCGUGGCUACGGACGUACCUCCUGGGAGGACCGCAGGGCUGCGGCCGCAGAACAGAGAUUUGGACCUAGUGAAAGGACGUCGCCCCUUAGACCCAGCUAUGGACUCCACAGCAUCAGUUCUCCCUUCUCAGGACCCUCCUCUUCCUCCAGAGAGAUACCCAGGAGAAAAGGGAACAACCAGUUUAUUCCUGAAAGCCAGGUCCCAGGUGAGUUGAGGUUCUCUUCGUUUUUUUCUCAAAUGACUGAACUACGGACGUCUUUGCCCUCUUUUCCCUGGAG
RNAcentral lists this long non-coding RNA (553 nucleotides) under Neogale vison (American mink). RNAcentral describes it as "Neovison vison (American mink) lncRNA (ENSNVIG00000015720.1)". The record is from RNAcentral. Lineage: Eukaryota; Metazoa; Chordata; Mammalia; Carnivora; Mustelidae.